RNAcentral lists this ribosomal RNA (206 nucleotides) under Apterostigma acre. Its description in RNAcentral is "partial large subunit ribosomal RNA". The record is from RNAcentral. Lineage: Eukaryota; Metazoa; Arthropoda; Insecta; Hymenoptera; Formicidae.
GAAUUUUAAAUAUAUUAAUUUAAUAUUAGUUUAAAGUAAAAUUAUUUUAUUUUUAAUUGGGAGGAUUAUUAAAUUUAAUAAACUUUAAUAUAAUUAAGACUUAGAUUUAAGAUUAAAUGAAUGAUUUUAAAAUUAAAUAAGAUUAAAUUACCUUAGGGAUAACAGCGUAAUAUUUUUAGAAAGAACUUAUUGAUAAAAAUUGUUGC